Mastomys coucha (southern multimammate mouse) is the source of this 760-nucleotide long non-coding RNA. RefSeq lists it as uncharacterized. Lineage: Eukaryota; Metazoa; Chordata; Mammalia; Rodentia; Muridae. The record is from RefSeq and is a predicted model, not a curated record. The transcript is spliced from 6 exons.
CCUUCCCUCUCGGCUCUUGCAUUCACCUGCUCCAAGCUGUUCCUUCAGCCGGGUCUGGUCCUUGGUGUCUGGUGCCUGCACAACAGGGACAGGACAUGGAGUUAGCGUGGUGUGACAGCUUCUGAGCCCUGGCCUUUCCUGGACUUGCCUACUUCUUGGAAAGAUAUUUUAAUCUAGUCUUCUGAACUGCCAAUUUGAAGCAUGUCAUGGAGCCAGCCUUCUUACUGUAAGUGGAGAACUGGGCCAGCACCAUAGAAUUGAAUACUGGAUCACAAGUAGAGCUGGAAACUCACAAGGCCAAGAUUUCCAGGAAGCCACAGAUACAAUAUCCAACCCCACUUCUACCCACAAACUCCUCCACACCCCUCCUUUGGGGAAAGAAAUUUGAAAGAACCUUGACUGAAGAGUCUAAAAGCUUGAAGCAAGGCACCUUGUCCAGUCUGGGAUAAAGGAAAGCAAAGGCGGGUCAAGAACAUAUGUCCAAUACAGCUUUCCUGUCACCAUUGUCAAGGCAUUCAGCAAGCUCUGAGGCUCACAUGUUUCAACACUUGGCUCCAAGCUUACAGUGCUGAUUGGGAAUGUUGUGGAACUUUCAGGAACUGGAGCAUUAGAACCCAUCAAGAGCCUCCUGGCAUUGAAGAUAGCUGUCUGUGAACAAGAAGCAGUUUCUCAAAGGACAAUGAAUUUUCAGGAUCUUGAUCUUAAGCUUUCUGCCUGCAGACCUGUGAGGAAUAAAUUUUAGUUGCUAAUAAUCCAUCAA